AUACGAAGGGGGCUAGCGUUGUUCGGAAUUACUGGGCGUAAAGCGCAUGUAGGCGGACAUUUAAGUCAGGGGUGAAAUCCCGGGGCUCAACCUCGGAACUGCCUUUGAUACUGGGUGUCUAGAGUGUGGAAGAGGUAAGUGGAAUUCCGAGUGUAGAGGUCCCGAAAUUCGUAGAUAUUCGGAGGAACACCAGUGGCGAAGGCGGCUUACUGGUCCAUUACUGACGCUGAGGUGCGAAAGCGUGGGGAGC
This 250-nucleotide ribosomal RNA is filed under the name uncultured bacterium. RNAcentral's name for it is "partial 16S ribosomal RNA". It matches the Rfam family "Bacterial small subunit ribosomal RNA", at positions 523 to 769 of the family's 1533-position model. The record is from RNAcentral.